This is a long non-coding RNA of Chenopodium quinoa (quinoa), 1515 nucleotides long. RefSeq lists it as uncharacterized. NCBI's taxonomy places the organism in Eukaryota, Viridiplantae, Streptophyta, Magnoliopsida, Caryophyllales, Amaranthaceae. The record is from RefSeq and is a predicted model, not a curated record. The transcript is spliced from 2 exons.
UCAAAAUAGUCCUUUUUACCUCCAACCUGUUUUACAGGUUAUUAUUUUUUUUUUAAUUUUUCUUUAGUUCCUGUACUCUCACAUCACGUCCUCACCCCCUUCAUCCCUGACAACCACCAUCACUACCACCACAGCACCACCCACACCAAUCCAUCACCGCCGAAUUGACCUCAACCCCGAAAUUAAACCCACUAGAAUUGGGGAAGAGAUAAGGGGCUGCAAUCUGCCAUAUCCAAUCCCCACACAUGAAUCCACUCCUAACCCCCAACUCAAAACCCCACAUGAGGAAGGGCGGCUGAGCUUCGGUCGUGGAUUUUUGACCGAAAAAGAUGUUUGAAGAUGAGAAAAGUGGUAAGACCACCAUUAACGGUGGCCUUAACAAAGGAGAGGACAGUUCGGCAGAUCUGGAGCAUGUGUGUCAAUCGGUGGUCCGGGCUGCUGAUUCAUCGGAAAUAAAGGCGGUGAUGUGGUUGGCAGUUCGGAGUGGAGGUCUCAAGUCUGGUGGGGUUAUGGUUUCCGGCUCAAAACUCGAUCAACGCGCCAGCUGGGCGGCGGAUCGAUUCGAGUUUCUGUUGGGUUGAGGAGGGAAUCGCCGAAACGGGGAAGGUAUAGUGGAAGGGGGAACGGGGAAGAGGAGGGAAUUAAGGAGGGCGGCUGGUCUAGCUGUGCCGGUGGUGGCUGUUCCGGCGGCGGCUGGGUCCGGCGAUGGAGGGAGCUUUGGCAGGGUAAGGUCGUAAGUAAGAAGAAGUUAAGGAUUAUUAAUUUUUUUUUGUUUAUUUCUUUAUUAAUUAAAAAAAUAACAAGAACCAAUUAGAAGGUGACACGUAUCAAAUCACCUUCUAAAUACAGUUAUCAACUUUACAAACUGGUAAAAGGACUACUUUGAGCAGAUGGGGUGUUAAGGUGGGAUUAUUUUUGGAAUACGUAAAGGUGGGAUUAUUUUGAGAAAAUGUGCCAAAGGUGGGAUUAUUUUUUUCAAUUUUUCUUAUAAUUAAAGUUUAAUAGUUUAUACUAGCUAGAAAAUCUGGGGUAUUACACAAAACCCACGAUAACAAAAUUUAGGGAAAAUAUAAAACUCCUCCACUACUUACACUUAUCAACCCUAACUUUUCUUCUCCGAUCUCCUUAUUUCGUAAAUCUACAGAGGCUUAUGGAGCCAUGGAUUUCAAAAUCAGAUUUUUGUCUCUCAUUAGGUUGAAUUCGAAAUGCCGUACAUCAAUUACAAAUUCAGAUCUUUUCCCUCUUUGUAUCAAUUUCGAAGUGUGUUACAUCAGUUUCAAAUUCAUCAAAUUUUAGUCCCUGAUUCUUUUUCGAAAUGAGGUGAAGAAUCAAGGUGUUGAUUUUGGAAUUUGGAUUUCAAUGUUGUAAUUUUUUUUUUCUUCGAUGUGUAAUUUUUUUUUUCUUCAAUGUUAUAAUUUUUUUUUUCUGGAUUUUGAUAUUGUAAUUUAUUUUAUUUUUUUGUAUUGUAAAAUAACAAUUUAAUCAUCAAUAUAUUUCGUAUUCAAGCUUGUUAUA